This 550-nucleotide ribosomal RNA is filed under the name uncultured bacterium. RNAcentral describes it as "bacterial SSU rRNA". It matches the Rfam family "Bacterial small subunit ribosomal RNA", at positions 355 to 896 of the family's 1533-position model. The record is from RNAcentral.
UAGGGAAUCUUCCGCAAUGGACGCAAGUCUGACGGAGCAACGCCGCGUGAGUGAAGAAGGUUUUCGGAUCGUAAAACUCUGUUGUUAGAGAAGAACAAGUGCUAGAGUAACUGUUAGCGCCUUGACGGUAUCUAACCAGAAAGCCACGGCUAACUACGUGCCAGCAGCCGCGGUAAUACGUAGGUGGCAAGCGUUGUCCGGAUUUAUUGGGCGUAAAGCGAGCGCAGGCGGUUCCUUAAGUCUGAUGUGAAAGCCCCCGGCUCAACCGGGGAGGGUCAUUGGAAACUGGGGAACUUGAGUGCAGAAGAGGAGAGUGGAAUUCCAUGUGUAGCGGUGAAAUGCGUAGAUAUAUGGAGGAACACCAGUGGCGAAGGCGACUCUCUGGUCUGUAACUGACGCUGAGGCUCGAAAGCGUGGGUAGCAAACAGGAUUAGAUACCCUGGUAGUCCACGCCGUAAACGAUGAGUGCUAAGUGUUGGAGGGUUUCCGCCCUUCAGUGCUGCAGUUAACGCAUUAAGCACUCCGCCUGGGGAGUACGACUGCAAGGUUG